UAGGGAAUCUUCGGCAAUGGACGAAAGUCUGACCGAGCAACGCCGCGCGUGUGAAGAAGGUUUUCGGCUCGUAAAACUCUUUUGUUAGAGAAGAACAAGGACGUUAGUAACUGAACGUCCCCUGACGGUAUCUAACCAGAAAGCUACGGCUAACUACUUGCCAGCAGCCGCGGUAAUACGUAGGUGGCAAGCGUUGUCCGGAUUUAUUGGUCGUAAAGCGAGCGCAGGUGGUUUCUUAAGUCUGAUGUGAAAGCCCCCGGCUCAACCGGGGAGGGUAAUUGGAAACUGGACGACUUGAGUGCAGAAGAGGAGAGUGGAAUUCCAUAUGUAGCGGUGAAAAGCGUAGCUAUAUGGAGGAACAGCAGUGGAGAAGGCAGCUCGCAGGACUGUAACUGACGCUGAGGCUCGAAAGCGUGGGGAGCAAACAGG
This 429-nucleotide ribosomal RNA is filed under the name Gemmatimonadota bacterium. Its description in RNAcentral is "Gemmatimonadetes bacterium partial 16S ribosomal RNA". It matches the Rfam family "Bacterial small subunit ribosomal RNA", at positions 355 to 776 of the family's 1533-position model. Lineage: Bacteria; Pseudomonadati; Gemmatimonadota. The record is from RNAcentral.